UUCCUUAAUUUUCUGACUUAAGCGUUGGAGGACCUCUACCGAAACCAACUCCAAUAAAUAUUUAUUUUAUAGAUUAAGUCACCGUCAUCGAGUACCAGCCUACAUCUCUUCUUGAGCCAAUUCGGAUUUAGCUAGAAGACUAGCAAUAAUAGAUUGGCAUCAAAGAAAGGACUUAGAUCCCUUUACGGGAAGAAGCAAGGAGUAAACAUCUGAUUGCUAUGGCACCAUAUAAAGAAACUUUGUUGCGUCGCUCCAACACCACCACUUCAAAGGCGGCUGGAGUCCAAGCAAACUCUUAGGCACCCCCACAACAAAUGGAGGUGCUGCCUCCACCCUCCCAACC
RNAcentral lists this long non-coding RNA (343 nucleotides) under Elaeis guineensis (African oil palm). Its description in RNAcentral is "long non-coding RNA (EGUI_LNC047094)". The record is from RNAcentral. Lineage: Eukaryota; Viridiplantae; Streptophyta; Magnoliopsida; Arecales; Arecaceae.